This 438-nucleotide ribosomal RNA is filed under the name uncultured Trichocomaceae. RNAcentral's name for it is "SSU rRNA". It matches the Rfam family "Eukaryotic small subunit ribosomal RNA", at positions 318 to 756 of the family's 1831-position model. The record is from RNAcentral. Lineage: Eukaryota; Fungi; Ascomycota; Eurotiomycetes; Eurotiales; Trichocomaceae.
ACUUUCGAUGGUAGGAUAGUGNCCUCACCCAUGGCUGGCAACCGGGUANCGGGGAAUUAGGUUCGAUUCCGGAGANGGAGCCUGAGAAACGGCUACCACAUCCAAGGAAGGCAGCAGGCGCGCAAAUUACCCAAUCCCGAUACGGGGAGGUAGUGACAAUAAAUACUGAUACAGGGCUCUUUUGGGUCUUGUAAUUGGAAUGAGAACAAUCUAAAUCCCUUAACGAGGAACAAUUGGAGGGCAAGUCUGGUGCCAGCAGCCGCGGUAAUUCCAGCUCCAAUAGCGUAUAUUAAAGUUGUUGCAGUUAAAAAGCUCGUAGUUGAACCUUGGGCCCGUCCUGCCGGUCCGCCUCACCGCGAGUACUGGUCCGGAUGGGCCUUUCUUUCUGGGGAAUCCCAUGGCCUUCACUGGCUGUGGCGGGGAACCAGGACUUUUACU